CUACGGAGGCAGCAGUGGGGAAUAUUGCACAAUGGGCGCAAGCCUGAUGCAGCAAUGCCGCGUGUGUGAAGAAGGCCUGCGGGUUGUAAAGCACUUUCGGUUGGGAGGACUGCUUCUAGCACUAAUAUUGUUGGAAGUUGACGUUACCUUCAGAAGAAGCACCGGCUAACUCCGUGCCAGCGGCCGCGGUAAUACGGAGGGUGCAAGCGUUAAUCGGAAUUACUGGGCGUAAAGCGCGCGUAGGCGGCUAGAUCAGUCGGGUGUGAAAGCCCCGGGCUUAACCUGGGAACUGCAUCCGAUACUGUCUAGCUUGAGUACAGGAGAGGAGAGUGGAAUUCCACAUGUAGCGGUGAAAUGCGUAGAUAUGUGGGGGAACACCAAUGGCGAAGGCAGCUCUCUGGCCUGAUACUGACGCUGAGGUGCGAAAGCGUGGGGAGCAAACAGGAUUAGAUACCCUAGUAGUC
This 464-nucleotide ribosomal RNA is filed under the name uncultured bacterium. RNAcentral describes it as "partial 16S ribosomal RNA". It matches the Rfam family "Bacterial small subunit ribosomal RNA", at positions 339 to 795 of the family's 1533-position model. The record is from RNAcentral.